RNAcentral lists this ribosomal RNA (253 nucleotides) under uncultured bacterium. RNAcentral describes it as "partial 16S ribosomal RNA". It matches the Rfam family "Bacterial small subunit ribosomal RNA", at positions 524 to 776 of the family's 1533-position model. The record is from RNAcentral.
UACGUAGGAGGCAAGCGUUGUCCGGAUUUACUGGGCGUAAAGAGCGCGCAGGCGGUCGUUCAAGUCGCGUGUGAAAGCCCCCGGCUCAACUGGGGAGGGUCACGCGAUACUGAUCGACUCGAAGGCAGGAGAGGGUAGUGGAAUUCCCGGUGUAGUGGUGAAAUGCGUAGAUAUCGGGAGGAACACCAGUGGCGAAGGCGGCUCUCUGGACCGGUUCUGACGCUCAGGCGCGAAAGCGUGGGGAGCGAUCCGG